UCUUGUUUACUGACGCUGCAAUAAUUAAAUGACUUUGCCUCGUGCUUUGGUCUCACUCACACGAUAUCAGGAAUCACUUUUUGAUAGAACACCCAUCCUUCCACUAUUUUAGUUCAAGCACGCUUAACCCUAGAGUUUUAAAUGGAUGUGUAGCGGAAAAAGUAAGUGCACUUUGGUGACAUAGAUAACCAAAUCAAUUC
Molecule: long non-coding RNA, 200 nt
Filed under: Brassica rapa (field mustard)
Lineage: Eukaryota; Viridiplantae; Streptophyta; Magnoliopsida; Brassicales; Brassicaceae
Description: long non-coding RNA (BRAP_LNC004545)
Source: RNAcentral